UACGAAGGGGGCUAGCGUUGCUCGGAAUCACUGGGCGUAAAGGGUGCGUAGGCGGGCCUUUAAGUCAGGGGUGAAAUCCUGGAGCUCAACUCCAGAACUGCCUUUGAUACUGAGGAUCUUGAGUUCGGGAGAGGUGAGUGGAACUGCGAGUGUAGAGGUGAAAUUCGUAGAUAUUCGCAAGAACACCAGUGGCGAAGGCGGCUCACUGGCCCGAUACUGACGCUGAGGUGCGAAAGCGUGGGGAGCAAACAGG
Molecule: ribosomal RNA, 253 nt
Filed under: uncultured bacterium
Lineage: Bacteria
Description: partial 16S ribosomal RNA
Rfam family: Bacterial small subunit ribosomal RNA
Source: RNAcentral